CUUGAUGGAGCCGAGCCACAGGGGCUGUUCGUCGGGGCGGUCCUGGCCGUACGUGGCGAGGAGUGCCUGGGCCUC
This 75-nucleotide antisense RNA is filed under the name Streptomyces alboflavus. RNAcentral's name for it is "ASpks TB sRNA". It matches the Rfam family "ASpks TB sRNA". The record is from Rfam by way of RNAcentral. Lineage: Bacteria; Bacillati; Actinomycetota; Actinomycetes; Kitasatosporales; Streptomycetaceae.